AUGGUAUCUGGGAUGUUGGGGUGGUUACCCCUCCUUUAGCCCAGAGUGGGGAGCAGCCCAGCUAGCAAGGUAGCCAGAGAGCAAGAAUGGGUCAGCCAACUAGGAGAGGGGGGCCCUGGCCUUUCUUCCUAGUGGUGGUGCCUCAAGGUCUGGGGCACGGAGCCUGGGGAGCUGUGGGGGAAGAAGGCAGGAGAACUCUUCCUGGCAUCCUUAAGUCAGUCUCUUUCAGGAGCUUCUCUCUGCAUACAGGAGUACCUGGCCGUAGUCGAUGCCCCUCCCUUGGACCUCCGGUUCAGCCCCUCAGGCUACCUCUUGCUGGCUUCAGAAAAGGAUGCUGCAGCCAUGGAGAGCAACGUGAAAGUGCAGAGGCAGGUGGGAGCCAAAAUUUCUCUGAUGUCUCCUGAUCAGCUUCGGAACAAGUUUCCCUGGAUAAACACAGAGGGAGUGGCUUUGGCAUCUUACGGUGAGGCUUGCUUGCAGAGGGGACAGCUUUUUUCCUGAAGAUGGAGACUAAGGGGUGCUACACGUUGGGAGUCUCGGUACCCCACAGCCAAGCUGAAGGAGGAACACUUCCCUCCUGUGUCA
Molecule: small RNA, 585 nt
Filed under: Pongo abelii (Sumatran orangutan)
Lineage: Eukaryota; Metazoa; Chordata; Mammalia; Primates; Hominidae
Description: retained intron
Source: RNAcentral